Xylariomycetidae sp. FL2044 is the source of this 110-nucleotide non-coding RNA. Lineage: Eukaryota; Fungi; Ascomycota; Sordariomycetes. The record is from the annotation of a GenBank genome assembly.
GUCGCUUUGGUGGAGUGGUUAACACGUUGCCCUGCUAUGAAUCUCCUUCAUGGUUCGUAACCAGUUAGGCAAUUCCUUCGGGAGCGUAGGUUCGAAUCCUGCAGGCGACG